RNAcentral lists this ribosomal RNA (253 nucleotides) under uncultured bacterium. Its description in RNAcentral is "partial 16S ribosomal RNA". It matches the Rfam family "Bacterial small subunit ribosomal RNA", at positions 524 to 776 of the family's 1533-position model. The record is from RNAcentral.
UACAGAGGUCUCAAGCGUUGUUCGGAUUCAUUGGGCGUAAAGGGUGCGUAGGCGGCGCGGUAAGUCGGGUGUGAAAUCUCGGAGCUUAACUCCGAAACUGCAUUCGAUACUGCCGUGCUUGAGGACUGGAGAGGAGACUGGAAUUUACGGUGUAGCGGUGAAAUGCGUAGAGAUCGUGAGGAAGACCAGUGGCGAAGGCGGGUCUCUGGACAGUUCCUGACACUGAGACACGAAGGCCAGGGGAGCAAACGGG